GUAGGUGAACCUGCGGAAGGAUCAUUAACACGUGAAUACUCACGUAUUAAACUAACCGUGAACUGUUGUAUCCCCUGGUGUAGAACAUAGGUGACAAGAUUGUGAAUUUGGUGCGAGAUGAAAGUCUCUUCCUUUCUUGUCUGUUGAGCGAUCGAGUUAACUCUUGAUAGAGCUCAUGCCCAUGCCUGCAUACAGAAGACUAAUUGCCAAUGCUUAUUCAUGCCUGCGCCAAUGGCUUGCAUUGUGUGGUGCUAUUUUUAACCCCUUUUAUUAUUAUUUCUGAUGUGUAUGCUUAUCUGAAUUCCCUUAAUUGGUUGAGUUCGAUAAGUGUCGUAUAUAUUUAAUACGAAACAACUCUUAGCAACGGAUAUCUUGGUUCUC
This 381-nucleotide unclassified non-coding RNA is filed under the name rhizosphere metagenome. RNAcentral's name for it is "partial ribosomal RNA internal transcribed spacer region". The record is from RNAcentral.